This 203-nucleotide ribosomal RNA is filed under the name uncultured bacterium. RNAcentral's name for it is "partial 16S ribosomal RNA". It matches the Rfam family "Bacterial small subunit ribosomal RNA", at positions 524 to 727 of the family's 1533-position model. The record is from RNAcentral.
UACGUAGGGUGCGAGCGUUGUCCGGAAUUAUUGGGCGUAAAGGGCUCGUAGGCGGUUUGUCGCGUCGGGAGUGAAAUCCACUGGCUUAACUGGUGGCUUGCUUUCGAUACGGGCAGACUGGAGGCAUGCAGGGAGAACGGAAUUCCUGGUGUAGCGGUGAAAUGCGCAGAAUAUCAGGAGGACACCGGUGGCGAAGGCGGAUC